GACGAACGCUGGCGGCGUGCUUAACACAUGCAAGUCGAACGGAAAGGCCCUGCUUUUGUGGGGUGCUCGAGUGGCGAACGGGUGAGUAACACGUGAGUAACCUGCCCUUGACUUUGGGAUAACUUCAGGAAACUGGGGCUAAUACCGGAUAGGAGCUCCUGCUGCAUGGUGGGGGUUGGAAAGUUUCGGCGGUUGGGGAUGGACUCGCGGCUUAUCAGCUUGUUGGUGGGGUAGUGGCUUACCAAGGCUUUGACGGGUAGCCGGCCUGAGAGGGUGACCGGCGACAUUGGGACUGAGAUACGGCCCAGACUCCAACGGGAGGCAGCAGUGGGGAAUAUUGCACAAUGGGCGGAAGCCUGAUGCAGCAACGCCGCGUGCGGGAUGACGGCCUUCGGGUUGUAAACCGCUUUCGCCUGUGACGAAGCGUGAGUGACGGUAAUGGGUAAAGAAGCACCGACUAACUACGUG
This 468-nucleotide ribosomal RNA is filed under the name uncultured bacterium. RNAcentral describes it as "partial 16S ribosomal RNA". It matches the Rfam family "Bacterial small subunit ribosomal RNA", at positions 28 to 507 of the family's 1533-position model. The record is from RNAcentral.